AACGAACGCUGGCGGCAUGCCUAACACAUGCAAGUCGAACGAGACCUUCGGGUCUAGUGGCGCACGGGUGAGUAACGCGUGGGAACCUGCCCUUAGGUUCGGAAUAACUCCCCGAAAGGGGUGCUAAUACCGGAUAAUGUCUUCGGACCAAAGAUUUAUCGCCGAAGGAUGGGCCCGCGUUGGAUUAGCUAGUUGGUAGGGUAAAAGCCUACCAAGGCGACGAUCCAUAGCUGGUCUGAGAGGAUGAUCAGCCACACUGGGACUGAGACACGGCCCAGACUCCUACGGGAGGCAGCAGUGGGGAAUAUUGGACAAUGGGCGAAAGCCUGAUCCAGCAAUGCCGCGUGAGUGAUGAAGGCCUUAGGGUUGUAAAGCUCUUUUACCCGGGAUGAUAAUGACAGUACCGGGAGAAUAAGCUCCGGCUAACUCCGUG
Molecule: ribosomal RNA, 433 nt
Filed under: uncultured bacterium
Lineage: Bacteria
Description: partial 16S ribosomal RNA
Rfam family: Bacterial small subunit ribosomal RNA
Source: RNAcentral